Phymastichus coffea is the source of this 225-nucleotide long non-coding RNA. RefSeq lists it as uncharacterized. The transcript has 3 exons. The record is from RefSeq and is a predicted model, not a curated record. Lineage: Eukaryota; Metazoa; Arthropoda; Insecta; Hymenoptera; Eulophidae.
CAUGAGGUAUUCCAUGCAAGUCAUACUGGCUCAUGCGAAAGACGGAAAACUCGUGAGAGGCGACCACGGGAUUAGCCGGGGCGAUAAUAAUGAAAAUCGGCAACACUAUGAGGAGAUAAUAAGGUUAGGAGAUACGCUAUAGCUAUAGAGAAAGGGAGGGUUGUCAAAUUAUAUAAGGAUUUCGUUUCGCACGACUACAAUUUGUUAACAUCGGUUUCAGAAAAU